AGUGAACGCUGGCGGUAGGCCUAACACAUGCAAGUCGAACGGCAGCACAGUAAGAGCUUGCUCUUACGGGUGGCGAGUGGCGGACGGGUGAGGAAUACAUCGGAAUCUACUUUUUCGUGGGGGAUAACGUAGGGAAACUUACGCUAAUACCGCAUACGACCUACGGGUGAAAGCAGGGGAUCUUCGGACCUUGCGCGAUUGAAUGAGCCGAUGUCGGAUUAGCUAGUUGGCGGGGUACAGGCCCACCAAGGCGACGAUCCGUAGCUGGUCUGAGAGGAUGAUCAGCCACACUGGAACUGGGACACGGUCCAGACUCCUACGGGAGGCAGCAGUGGGGAAUAUUGGACAAUGGGCGCAAGCCUGAUCCAGCCAUACCGCGUGGGUGAAGAAGGCCUUCGGGUUGUAAAGCCCUUUUGUUGGGAAAGAAAAGCAGCAGGUUAAUACCCCGCUGUUCUGACGGUACCCAAAGAAUAAGCACCGGCUAACUUCGUG
This 492-nucleotide ribosomal RNA is filed under the name uncultured bacterium. RNAcentral describes it as "partial 16S ribosomal RNA". It matches the Rfam family "Bacterial small subunit ribosomal RNA", at positions 29 to 507 of the family's 1533-position model. The record is from RNAcentral.